RNAcentral lists this ribosomal RNA (424 nucleotides) under uncultured bacterium. RNAcentral's name for it is "partial 16S ribosomal RNA". It matches the Rfam family "Bacterial small subunit ribosomal RNA", at positions 360 to 776 of the family's 1533-position model. The record is from RNAcentral.
AACUUUGGACAAUGGGCGCAAGCCUGAUCCAGCCAGGCCGCGUUAGUGAAGAAGGCCUUCGGUAUGUAAAUAUCUUUCGGUCGGAAAGAAAUCGCGCAGGCUAAUACACGCCGCGGAUGACGGUACCGUCAGAAGAAGCACCGGCUAACUACGUGCCAGCAGCCGCGGUAAUAGGUAGGGUGCGAGCGCUAAUGGGAAUUACUGGGCGUAAAGCGUGCGCAGGCGGUUGAUUAAGACAGGCGUGAAAUCCCCGGGCUUAACCUGGGCACUGCGCUUGUAACUGGUCAGCUAGAGUACGGCAGAGGGGGGUGGAAUUCCACGUGUAGCAGUGAAAUGCGUAGAGAUGUGGAGGAACACCGAUGGCGAAGGCAGCCCCCUGGGCCGAUACUGACGCUCAUGCACGAAAGCGUGGGUAGCAAACAGG